This is a non-coding RNA of Dipodomys ordii (Ord's kangaroo rat), 1936 nucleotides long. The record is from the annotation of a RefSeq genome assembly. NCBI's taxonomy places the organism in Eukaryota, Metazoa, Chordata, Mammalia, Rodentia, Heteromyidae.
CACAGACAGACAGACCUCUCACAGUCUAGGAGACCCACCCCUGAAUGAUCCAGAACAUACCUUGGGCUUCUGAAGGUGCCAUGGGCUCCAGGCUGCCCUGCCUGCUAGUCUUUUGUCUCCUAGGAGCAGGACCAGCCGACUCUGGAGUGAUACAAGACCCCCAGCACCUGAUCCAAGUCCAAGGCCAGCGGGCCACGCUGAAAUGCACCCCCAUCUCCGGGCACCUCUAUGUGUCCUGGUACCAGCAGACCCCUGGCCAGGGCCUGAGAUUCCUGCUGUCGUAUUACAACAAGGAACUGAGACAGAAGGGGGACGACCUGAGUGCUCGCUUCUCGGCACAGCAGUUCUCCAACUCCAGCUUGUGGCUCAGCAUCAGCAGCUUGGAGCCUGGGGACUCGGCCCGGUUUCUCUGCGCCAGCAGUGAGCACAGCUGCGCAGGGCCGCCAGCCUGCGGUACCCAAACGUCCUGUCCCCGAGCGCGAGGGGACGCAGGUGCCCCGUGCCAGCCAGAGCUGCCUGCGGCGCCCUGGCGGGCCACGGGGGCCUUCCCCAGACUCUUGCUGCUGCUUACAGCUGCGAUCGGCUCAAUGCUCACAGAAUUCUCACAGGGGAGCAGAAUCAGCAACUCAUCCCCACACCUGCUGGCUCCAGUGAACUCGUUUACUAGAAGUAAAUUACCCAGGAGUUAACUGUUUAGACGACUGGCACUUGGACCGUCUAACAACAUUAGGAGCGUUAGAAAGCAGUGAUGGCCAUGAAUACCUCCUCCUGAUUCCCAUUCCAGUGCUAGCUCAUCGAGACCAUGGUUAGCUGUUUUCCCAUCAAUUAAAAUGAGAUUAACAAUAUCCAUCUGUAUAAGUCAGAGUUCUUUAGAGAAACAGAACAUAUAGAAUCUAUCUGUCCGAUUAUCUAUCUCCAUUAUCAAUCAAUCUCUAUAACUCUUCCUAUAUCUAUCCAUCUAUCAUCUAUUAUUUUUCACCUGUUAAUCUGUGUAUCUUUUUCUCCCUAUAUUUUUCUGUCAUUUAUCAAUCUAUUAUCUAAUCUAUAUAAUUAUGUAUCUAUCCUCUAUCCUCUAGAAAUCUUCUACCAAUAUAUAAAUCAUCUAUCAUUUAUCAAUCUAUCCAUUAUCUAAUUAUAUAUUUAUCUGUAUAUCUACUAUCUCUCUAGCAUUGAUAAAUAAGUCUAGUAUCUUUCUCCCUAUAUUCAUCUAUUUUCUUCCUGCUCUCUAUCAAUCAUCUGUCUAUCUCUGUCAUUUAUGGAAUCUCUGUAUCUCUAUCUUAUACCAAUUUCUGUAUCUAUUUCUCGUUACAUCCAUGUAUGUAUGUAUGUAUGUAUCUUCAUCAUCAUCAUUAUCAUUCACUGACUGAUCUUCCUUCUGAAGGAUACAGUCAGUACUCCCACAGGAAGGAGCAGUGGGUAUUUUUACGAGCACCCAGGGAACACCAAAGCCUAUCUACCGUGGGAGAAAUGAGGAAAAAGAUCCUUGGAACUGCAAGCUUGCAUUUGGAUUGACACACAGGGCAGUGAGGUUAAUUAUAACCCAGUUCUUAGUGCCCUGGCAGCUCCGUUCUUUUGAAGAACUUGUCAGCACCAGACUGACCUUAGUUCCUGCCACACUUUGGCCUGUUCCAAAACUAUCUCUUCUUUCCCUGCUGUUCACUGAAGUGUACUGUUCAAGGAUUAUUCAUGUAGUGUUGAAUUCCAUGAUUAUCUUAGGUAUACCCAGCCUUGUGUUCCCCAGCGCUGCUCUUUCUAUGAUGGCUUAUUGUUGUAGGAUACCAUUUAGUUUUCUUAUAGGCAUGUUUUCAGUAUUUUGCCCACAUAUUUAACCCACUUAUAAUGUUAUCUCUCAGUCUUUCAUUGACUUAUAAUUUUGGAGUAACAUUGUUGGUUUCUAUUUUGUUCUUGUUUCCUCUUAGUGACAGAGAAUAAAGUA